This is a non-coding RNA of Acanthosepion pharaonis, 116 nucleotides long. The record is from the annotation of a GenBank genome assembly. Lineage: Eukaryota; Metazoa; Mollusca; Cephalopoda; Sepiida; Sepiidae.
UAUGGCCAUAUCAAGUUGAAACAUCAGUUCCCGUACGAUCACUGAAGUUAAGCAACGAACGCUGAGUCAGGCCAAUGACUAGAUGGGUGACUGCUUGGGAAUACCAGGUGCUGUAA